This 716-nucleotide long non-coding RNA is filed under the name Vulpes vulpes (red fox). RNAcentral's name for it is "lncRNA (ENSVVUG00000022483.1)". Lineage: Eukaryota; Metazoa; Chordata; Mammalia; Carnivora; Canidae. The record is from RNAcentral.
UUUUAAUGUCCAACAUUUAUAAUAUGAGGGCUAGUGCUUUCUUGCCAAGUUUAUAAGUUUUCGACUGGCUUGUAAGGUCAAUAGGGAUACUCCUUUUUGUCUAAUUUGGUUUCUGGGAAGACUUCAUUCAGGUCCUCAAUGGUCAUCUGAUCAAAUGGAAUUAUGUUCUUCAUCUUCUCCAGCAUUUUUUCAUAUUCUUCAAUCCUGGCCUUUGAGAGAGACAAAAACUCAGCACAGCGUUUCACAUCUUUUUUUUUCCCUCAGCAUCCACCUGGACAAUGUAUUUAUCCUCUGGCACAGAAACUUUCAACCUUCAAGGCGUUAAACUUCUUAUCAAAGUCAUCUACCAGGCCAGCCUUUGCCACAUUGGCCUUGUAGUAAGCCCAGUCGAUAGCAGGUGGUUUCUCAGGAAGAGUAGCCAACCUGGAGGGACACUGGAGCAAGAUGAUUGGACAAUAAGACUGCAAAUUCUACAUACUGCAAAUGCAAAUGGGGCCCAAAGGAGAGGUGCCAAUAGUGCCCAGAAUGCUGGUGUCCACAGAGCCAUGAAAUGAGCAACUAUCACAGUGCCUCUGAGGAGACCAUGGGCAGCCAUAAGGGAUCCUUAAAGGAGAGGUAUCAAGUUAUCAAAUGGUGGUGACACAAAUUUUGAAGUAUGAUUGGACUGACAUGUGCACACAUACAUAUAUGGCCUUCUAUAGUACAUAAUUAAAAAC